AGAAUGCGGAAAUGCGGUUUUGGCGGAGGCACUUAGAAGGCGAACGUUUAUAUAAAGCAUAUACGGUUGUAUUUUUUUAGAAAAUGACCGAUCGUUUCGCUAGAUAAGACACUUAUUCCUCGUCUGGUAUCGUUUGAAGCCCUUUGAAGCUGCACUGAAACUGUAAUUUUGACCUUCAACCGUUUGGAGGCCACUGAAGUGCACUAUAAGGAGAAUAAUUCUGGAAUGUUUUCAUCAAAAACCUUCAUUUCUUUUCGACUAAAGAAAGAAGGACAUGGACAUCUUGGAUGACAUGGGGGAGAAAAUGGAGACGAAAGGGAAUGCUCAUUUGGUUGCCGGCCAAUUCUGAUAUUGAUCCUCAUGCGUUGGUGGAAUACCCUCCUGACACUUGACUGAUCUUGCUAUUACCUCACCAAUAAGUGGAUGUAAGGAACAUAAGACUCGUGGCCUGCGAGGAAAGAGGAUUUCGUGCUUACGGAGGGUGGUUUAUGAGAUGGAUGAGGUUAAAAAAGUCAUUCACAAAGUCACAGAGAUCCUUCUCAGACAGUAAUUAUCAACCUCACAGAGAAAGAGCUCAGGUCAUUGCGCAAAGGAAAUGAAACGCCAGUAAGCUCAUGAAUAUUACAGAAGAAACUGAAAUAAGUUAUUUCUUUUGCAUUUGGUGGUAUUAAGUUAAAACAGGUCAACAAAAGAACAUCUGAACCAAGACUAGGAUUUACACCAUUAGCCUUUUUGCACAGUUGAAGUAUGUUGUAUUUAAUUGGACUGCAGCUUUACUAUACACAAAAAGUUGUUUAAUAGACAGGAAACAAAGUGAAAAGAGGCUUUACAUUAAGAAUUGGAGGCCUUGCGCUGCUAGAAGGCCAUUCAAGAUGUUUACUAAUGUACUGUUUGUAAAGGAAAUGAGCACUAAUGAGAAAGAGGAUGAACAGUGGGACCAGGAGGAGAUAAUUGGAACCAGAACUACAAAUCAUUCUACAAACAAUCUAAACAAACUUUCUUGUUCGAGUGUCAGGGUCACGUUCAUUUGCGAAUUCAUCUGUUCUUUUGCUGAACUGCUCUAGAAUUCAUUUGAUGCAUCAAUGAAUAAAACUCAAUUGGAAUGCCAGGGAAAAUAAAUAAAUAAAUAAAAUAAAUCACAAGGAGCAAAAAUCUGAUUGUUUGGAAUAUUCAACAAAGUUGUUUGUAGCUUGAAAAGCAACCCCAAUCCAAACUACAUCCACAUGUGGUUUGAAUGAAAUGCAGAUUUUUGAGCUACCCUAAUCCUUACUGUAUGUUCUGGACAUGCCCUGUCCUUUCUUUACUACUGUUGCACAGAUUUUAUUUGAAUUAAGGCGAGACAACUAAUUUCUCGCCUUAAGGUCAACCUAGGUCAACCCAACACAAUAUUUACUAACUGUAUUCCCCUUUCAAUUUCCAUUUCUGUAUUCUUUAUCUUUGUAUACAUCUUAAAAAAAAAGUUUAUAAAUAAAUCAUGAAUAAAAAAUUA
Long non-coding RNA from Ctenopharyngodon idella (grass carp), 1489 nucleotides. RefSeq lists it as uncharacterized. The record is from RefSeq and is a predicted model, not a curated record. NCBI's taxonomy places the organism in Eukaryota, Metazoa, Chordata, Actinopteri, Cypriniformes, Xenocyprididae. The transcript is spliced from 2 exons.